CCUACGGGUGGCAGCAGUGGGGAAUUUUGCGCAAUGGGGGAAACCCUGACGCAGCAACGCCGCGUGCGGGACGAAGGCCCUCGGGUCGUAAACCUCUUUCAGCAGGGAAGACCUUACGACAGUACCUGCAGAAGAAACUCCGGCGAACUCCGUGCCAGCAGCCGCGGUAAUACGUAGGGGGCGAGCGUUAUCCGGAUUCAUUGGGCGCAAAGCGCCCGUAGGCGGACGCAUAAGCGGAACCUGUAACCCCGUGGCUCAACCACAGGCCGGGUUGCGGACUGGGCGGCUCGAGUGCGGUAGAGGAGAGCGGAAUUCCGGGUGUAGCGGUGGAAUGCGCAGAUAUCGGGAAGAACACCGAUGGCGAAGGCAGCUCUCUGGGCUGUCACUGACGCUGAGGCGCGAAAGCUGGGGGAGCGAACAGGAUUAGAUACCCCUGUAGUC
RNAcentral lists this ribosomal RNA (441 nucleotides) under uncultured bacterium. RNAcentral's name for it is "partial 16S ribosomal RNA". It matches the Rfam family "Bacterial small subunit ribosomal RNA", at positions 338 to 795 of the family's 1533-position model. The record is from RNAcentral.